RNAcentral lists this ribosomal RNA (301 nucleotides) under uncultured bacterium. RNAcentral describes it as "partial 16S ribosomal RNA". It matches the Rfam family "Bacterial small subunit ribosomal RNA", at positions 509 to 807 of the family's 1533-position model. The record is from RNAcentral.
CAGCCGCCGCGGUAAUACAGAGGGUGCGAGCGUUAAUCGGAUUUACUGGGCGUAAAGCGUGCGUAGGCGGCUUUUUAAGUCGGAUGUGAAAUCCCUGAGCUUAACUUAGGAAUUGCAUUCGAUACUGGGUAGCUAGAGUAUGGGAGAGGAUGGUAGAAUUCCAGGUGUAGCGGUGAAAUGCGUAGAGAUCUGGAGGAAUACCGAUGGCGAAGGCAGCCAUCUGGCCUAAUACUGACGCUGAGGUACGAAAGCAUGGGGAGCAAACAGGAUUAGAGACCCCUGUAGUCCCUGUCUCUUAUAC